This 274-nucleotide ribosomal RNA is filed under the name uncultured bacterium. RNAcentral describes it as "partial 16S ribosomal RNA". It matches the Rfam family "Bacterial small subunit ribosomal RNA", at positions 523 to 796 of the family's 1533-position model. The record is from RNAcentral.
AUACGGAGGGUCCAAGCGUUAUCCGGAAUCAUUGGGUUUAAAGGGUCCGCAGGCGGUCAAUUAAGUCAGAGGUGAAAGCCCAUCGCUCAACGAUGGAACUGCCUUUGAUACUGGUUGACUUGAGUUAUACGGAAGUAGAUAGAAUAAGUAGUGUAGCGGUGAAAUGCAUAGAUAUUACUUAGAAUACCGAUUGCGAAGGCAGUCUACUACGUAUAUACUGACGCUGAGGGACGAAAGCGUGGGGAGCAAACAGGAUUAGAUACCCUAGUAGUCC